This 465-nucleotide ribosomal RNA is filed under the name uncultured Klebsiella sp. RNAcentral describes it as "bacterial SSU rRNA". It matches the Rfam family "Bacterial small subunit ribosomal RNA", at positions 338 to 795 of the family's 1533-position model. Lineage: Bacteria; Pseudomonadati; Pseudomonadota; Gammaproteobacteria; Enterobacterales; Enterobacteriaceae. The record is from RNAcentral.
CCUACGGGCGGCUGCAGUGGGGAAUAUUGCACAAUGGGCGCAAGCCUGAUGCAGCCAUGCCGCGUGUGUGAAGAAGGCCUUCGGGUUGUAAAGCACUUUCAGCGGGGAGGAAGGCGUUAAGGUUAAUAACCUUGUCGAUUGACGUUACCCGCAGAAGAAGCACCGGCUAACUCCGUGCCAGCAGCCGCGGUAAUACGGAGGGUGCAAGCGUUAAUCGGAAUUACUGGGCGUAAAGCGCACGCAGGCGGUCUGUCAAGUCGGAUGUGAAAUCCCCGGGCUCAACCUGGGAACUGCAUUCGAAACUGGCAGGCUAGAGUCUUGUAGAGGGGGGUAGAAUUCCAGGUGUAGCGGUGAAAGGCGUAGAGAUCUGGAGGAAUACCGGUGGCGAAGGCGGCCCCCUGGACAAAGACUGACGCUCAGGUGCGAAAGCGUGGGGGGCAAGCAGGAUUAGAUACCCCUGUAGUA